UACGUAGGGGGCAAGCGUUGUCCGGAAUCAUUGGGCGUAAAGAGCGUGUAGGCGGCCAGAUAAGUCCGCUGUGAAAUCUCGAGGCUCAACUUCGAGCUGUCGGUGGAAACUGUCUGGCUAGAGUCCGGAAGAGGAGAAUGGAAUUCCUGGUGUAGCGGUGAAAUGCGCAGAUAUCAGGAGGAACACCGGUGGCGAAGGCGCUGCUCUGGGCCGGUACUGACGCUGAGGAGCGAAAGCGUGGGUAGCAAACAGG
This 253-nucleotide ribosomal RNA is filed under the name uncultured bacterium. RNAcentral's name for it is "partial 16S ribosomal RNA". It matches the Rfam family "Bacterial small subunit ribosomal RNA", at positions 524 to 776 of the family's 1533-position model. The record is from RNAcentral.